AGAAAAGCGAAAUGAGAGCCCCACACAGGGAAAGCUAAGACAUUUUGAUGUGAACUGUGUUGCCUUCUGUUCUAAGGUUUCAGGUGCUGGCUUUAAGGUUUAAAGGGACCAGCUUUGCUCUGUGAUUCACCGCACCUCUCUCUCGGGUUCCAGGGCGUGCUCACUCCCACACACAGAGCCACUGGGAGAGCGCCGCCAGCCACGGCUGAAACAGGAGGUGGUGUUAAUUUUGAAAGCGAUCCAUGCUGUAAUGUCAUGAACCAGGAAGCUGGAAUCCUUCACCAGCUUUUCAUGCAAAUAUUUGGCUGCAGCUUGAGCUAAAGGACUUGAAAGGAGUGGGUUUAAAAACUGCUUCAUUGUAGGGCUCUCAUUAACCCCAUUCCUACCCCCCUUUGCCCCAUGGUCUGUUUGUCUGCCUCCCCACCUUAUCUCCCUCAGCUCCCUAGAGCUAUCCUUUAAGCACCGAACAACUUGGAGAUCCUCUCUGUGAAGCCAGAAAUCUACACCAAGAAGCAGGCACACGUUAUCCCCUGGUAGCCGCCCUACUUGCCUCCUGAGCAUACCUUCACAGCUUUCCUGGAAUCCCAGAUCCUUCUGAUGGCUCCCACGGAGGGACUGUACGCCUGGCUCUCGUAAUUAAAUCAUCUGUGUGGUGCUAUGCUUGCCUACGAGGGCAUGGGCGGAUAUACUAUGCAAGCAACUUCUGCAAGGCACU
Long non-coding RNA from Myotis davidii, 715 nucleotides. RefSeq lists it as uncharacterized. The transcript has 3 exons. The record is from RefSeq and is a predicted model, not a curated record. NCBI's taxonomy places the organism in Eukaryota, Metazoa, Chordata, Mammalia, Chiroptera, Vespertilionidae.